Molecule: ribosomal RNA, 456 nt
Filed under: Lactiplantibacillus plantarum
Lineage: Bacteria; Bacillati; Bacillota; Bacilli; Lactobacillales; Lactobacillaceae
Description: bacterial SSU rRNA
Rfam family: Bacterial small subunit ribosomal RNA
Source: RNAcentral
CAGAAGCGGGGGAUAACACCUGGAAACAGAUGCUAAUACCGCAUAACAACUUGGACCGCAUGGUCCGAGUUUGAAAGAUGGCUUCGGCUAUCACUUUUGGAUGGUCCCGCGGCGUAUUAGCUAGAUGGUGGGGUAACGGCUCACCAUGGCAAUGAUACGUAGCCGACCUGAGAGGGUAAUCGGCCACAUUGGGACUGAGACACGGCCCAAACUCCUACGGGAGGCAGCAGUAGGGAAUCUUCCACAAUGGACGAAAGUCUGAUGGAGCAACGCCGCGUGAGUGAAGAAGGGUUUCGGCUCGUAAAACUCUGUUGUUAAAGAAGAACAUAUCUGAGAGUAACUGUUCAGGUAUUGACGGUAUUUAACCAGAAAGCCACGGCUAACUACGUGCCAGCAGCCGCGGUAAUACGUAGGUGGCAAGCGUUGUCCGGAUUUAUUGGGCGUAAAGCGAGCGCA